UACGAAGGGGGAGCUAGCGUUGCUCGGAAUUACUGGGCGUAAAGGGCGCGUAGGCGGACAGUUUAGUCAGAGGUGAAAGCCCAGGCUCAACCUUGGAAUUGCCUUUGAUACUGGCUGUCUUGAGUUCGGGAGAGGUGAGUGGAAUGCCGAGUGUAGAGGUGAAAUUCGUAGAUAUUCGGCGGAACACCAGUGGCGAAGGCGACUCACUGGCCCGAUACUGACGCUGAGGCGCGAAAGCGUGGGGAGGCAAACAGG
This 255-nucleotide ribosomal RNA is filed under the name uncultured bacterium. RNAcentral describes it as "partial 16S ribosomal RNA". It matches the Rfam family "Bacterial small subunit ribosomal RNA", at positions 524 to 776 of the family's 1533-position model. The record is from RNAcentral.